UACGUAGGGUCCAAGCGUUGUCCGGAUUUAUUGGGCGUAAAGAGCUCGUAGGCGGUUCGGUAAGUCGGAUGUGAAAACUCAGGGCUCAACCCGGAGACGCCAUCCGAUACUGCUGUGACUUGAGUCUGGUAGGGGAACACGGAAUACCUGGUGUAGCGGUGAAAUGCGCAGAUAUCAGGUGGAACACCGAUGGCGAAGGCAGUGUUCUGGGCCGAUACUGACGCUGAGGAGCGAAAGCGUGGGUAGCAAACAGG
This 254-nucleotide ribosomal RNA is filed under the name uncultured bacterium. Its description in RNAcentral is "partial 16S ribosomal RNA". It matches the Rfam family "Bacterial small subunit ribosomal RNA", at positions 524 to 776 of the family's 1533-position model. The record is from RNAcentral.